Molecule: non-coding RNA, 2423 nt
Organism: Nylanderia fulva
Lineage: Eukaryota; Metazoa; Arthropoda; Insecta; Hymenoptera; Formicidae
Source: RefSeq, a predicted model, not a curated record
ACUGUUUUACAAUAGGGAUAAGCAUUCCAAGCCUCUUCAUGGAUCUCCAGCGAGUUCUUUGGCAAUAAAAUGCGAAUAAAAGCAGGCACUUUGCUAGCUAAGUGAUAAAUCUUAUAUGUAUAUUGGCCUGAUGAGUACUUUCCACCAAGCAAUGGGUAAUCCGUAAAUGGCUCAUUUUUCAACACUUCAAUACCUUCUCCGCCACCUGUAUUAUUCUUACUAGCCUCUGCUACAGAGUAUAGUUGAGCUACUUGAUACUGUUAAUAGAAAAACAUUUUAUAAAUAUUUAAUAGUUUUCAAAGAGUCAGAUAAAAAGUUCUGAAUUGCAUAAUUUGCCUGCAGACAGAUAUAUAGAUAUAUAUUUUAAUUCAUUUUGAAAAAGCAAAAUCUUUAUUAUUCAUACUUCAUUUUUUGCAUUUAUUUAUCACUACAAUUCACAUAUAAUUCAGUCAUUUAAAUCAAACAGAAAUAAUAUAAAUUAUAACUAAAAAAUGAACUUUGAACAUAAUUGUAUUAUUGAAAUAUCUUUACUAUCUUAGUAAUCCAAGGUGAACAAAUAAUGAAUAGAAAUAUAGAAUCAUCAUUCAGAUAAGAACAGAUAAUAAUAAGGAAUAAUUAUGACAAAAAAAAGUGGCUUUCAAUUACAAUUGUGCAAACUAAUUCUAUGUAAGAACUCAUUAUCAAACAUAUAUAGUAUCAUGCAAAUAACAAUUAGAUGAUUGGCAAUUUUUCUGAUUGCAUAGUAAUGUUAACAAAUUUUAGGUCAUCCAUUUUUUUUGCAAUCUAAUCAUCCUUAGGCCUAUAUUAAACUGGGUCAUUAUCAGAGGGGCAAGACCUUUCUGACAGAUCAGACACAUACCUCUUCCACUGUAAGGGGCAGAGUGACACGGCUGUAACAAACAAGUAACAAGUUAUGUCAGCAUUAUGUCAGACGAGGAAAGGAAAGAGGAAGAACUGAAGGAGAUGACGGUAACGCGAUCGUGGCCUUGAGUCACGUUUUCCCGCAUCACACGGACGGGGGGCACACGUUGCUGGCGUACAGUAUCGCUCUCGGCGAUCUUAAUUGAAUCAGAAAUCAAAAGCGAUCGAUAAAGUUUGAAAUUUACAACCGGCUGAACGUCAGUCCGCAUCAAAGUAUUCUCAAGUCGGUGAGUCAAGGUAGCCGAAAGAAUUCUCUCGAGGUCAGCUGAAAUUUCAGCUGCACUUCCCUUGCACUCUCCGCUUUUAAAAGGAACCAAAUUCAGUUCGGAGAGAGAGAGAAAGGAACAAGGUGCAGAGAGUGCAACUAAAACGAGCAGACCUCAAGCAGUAAGGGAUGACGAGUGUCUCACCAUCCCUCCACCUUCAACUCCCCUCCAGCUGUCAAGUUGCCGUUAAAGAUUAGUAAUAAUCGCGACUUGUCGAUCGCUUUUGAAUUUUCUGUCAGCUCGAUACGUCACGAAAUUAAUGACAUUCACUGUGGCGCGCACACCUGACAGCCCCCUCGUCCUGUCCCCUUUCCUCGCCCCCCUCCUCGUCCUUCCUUUCUCACUCGUCAACUUACUAUUCCUUGAUAAGCAUUUUAGGCAGAAGAGCACAUGGACCAGUCAGCGCGCGAUCAGCAGACUUUACCGCCGACGAUGACGACGACGACGACGAACGAGGAGGCAGCGCUCAGCAACAGCACCACCAGCAACCCGCCACUAAAACACACCACCACCGCACCCUCGUCAGCUAACAGCGGAUCCACUCGCGCUAUCGGCUCGCUUCUUCUCGUUGCUGAGUCAUACACGACAGGGGAUAAAUGCAACGCCGCGAGACUUGCCAACCGACUGACACACUCUGGCCACCGCUGGCCGCUCCACGGUCCGCACCAGCACAAAUCAAGCAACCGCACCGCGACGACCGCGCCGAACGAGCCUACACACACUUGCGCGCGCGCCCGCGCACACGUGUACGACCGUGAUUCCCUUCCUUCCCCGCCUCGCCUGUCCGAUUCUUUCCCCUUCUCUCGCGCUGCGUCUCUCCUCGAACUUCGCCGAUGACGUCAGUCAGCGACAAGACGGCCGCGCAUGCGAACUGCCCGGUUGAUCUGGCACCUAUCUAGGUUGAGAAAUUGGAACGGAGAAAAAUUACGAAUGAUGGAUGCUGCGAGAAAUUUUAUGCUCUUAAUACUCGAGAGAAUUAUGUUGGAUGCACUGAUACGCAUUAAGGACGAGUAUUCAAAUUCAAAUUCACUUUUAGAACGAGAUAGAAGUAAACACUUUUGCUAUUAAAAUCAACCUUAAACUUAGCAUACAGAUUGAUAUAAGAAGAUAAGAAUAUAUACAUAUAUGGAAAUGUAUUUUAAAGAUGAAUAAGAGAUAAAGUUUCCUCGACAAGUGAUUAAAUGUAAAGGCUUUAUGGAGCCAGAAAUAAUUGAAAUAAACGAUUUUAUCAACUUU